RNAcentral lists this ribosomal RNA (497 nucleotides) under uncultured bacterium. RNAcentral's name for it is "partial 16S ribosomal RNA". It matches the Rfam family "Bacterial small subunit ribosomal RNA", at positions 28 to 507 of the family's 1533-position model. The record is from RNAcentral.
GAUGAACGCUGGCGGCGUGGCUAAUACAUGCAAGUCGAGCGAACAGACGAGGAGCUUGCUCCUCUGACGUUAGCGGCGGACGGGUGAGUAACACGUGGAUAACCUACCUAUAAGACUGGGAUAACUUCGGGAAACCGGAGCUAAUACCGGAUAAUAUAUUGAACCGCAUGGUUCAAUAGUGAAAGACGGUUUUGCUGUCACUUAUAGAUGGAUCCGCGCCGCAUUAGCUAGUUGGGAAGGUAACGGCUUACCAAGGCAACGAUGCGUAGCCGACCUGAGAGGGUGAUCGGCCACACUGGAACUGAGACACGGUCCAGACUCCUACGGGAGGCAGCAGUAGGGAAUCUUCCGCAAUGGGCGAAAGCCUGACGGAGCAACGCCGCGUGAGUGAUGAAGGUCUUCGGAUCGUAAAACUCUGUUAUUAGGGAAGAACAAAUGUGUAAGUAACUAUGCACGUCUUGACGGUACCUAAUCAGAAAGCCACGGCUAACUACGUG